RNAcentral lists this ribosomal RNA (429 nucleotides) under uncultured Actinomycetes bacterium. RNAcentral's name for it is "bacterial SSU rRNA". It matches the Rfam family "Bacterial small subunit ribosomal RNA", at positions 917 to 1348 of the family's 1533-position model. Lineage: Bacteria; Bacillati; Actinomycetota; Actinomycetes. The record is from RNAcentral.
GGGCCCGCACAAGCGGCGGGGCAUGCGGAUUAAUUCGAUGCAACGCGAAGAACCUUACCUGGGUUUGACAUAUGCCGGAAAGCUCCAGAGAUGGAGCCCCCGCAAGGUCGGUUUACAGGUGGUGCAUGGCUGUCGUCAGCUCGUGUCGUGAGAUGUUGGGUUAAGUCCCGCAACGAGCGCAACCCUCGUUCUAUGUUGCCAGCACGUUAUGGUGGGGACUCAUAGGAGACUGCCGGGGUCGACUCGGAGGAAGGUGGGGAUGACGUCAAGUCAUCAUGCCCCUUAAGUCCAAGGCUUCACGCAUGCUACAAUGGCUGGUACAAAGGGCUGCGAUACCGCAAGGUGGAGCGAAUCCCAAAAAGCCGGUCUCAGUUCGGAUUGGGGUCUGCAACUCGACCCCAUGAAGUCGGAGUCGCUAGUAAUCGCAGA